UUUAGUACAAAAAGUAUACUUGUUUUCCAAACAAAAGAUUUAAAAAUUAAAAGAUA
RNAcentral lists this transfer RNA (56 nucleotides) under Neomenia carinata. RNAcentral describes it as "tRNA-Leu". The record is from RNAcentral. Lineage: Eukaryota; Metazoa; Mollusca; Solenogastres; Neomeniamorpha; Neomeniidae.